GUUUGAGUUGGUUUGUCAUGGUCUUCAGUAAUCACGGGUCUCCCUUCACUGAGUCCUAUCCUGUUACAGACACGUCCCUAUGAAGCCCUUGGAGGAGACCCAGUAGUUUGUGAACGACACGGCCUACAGGAUAGUGCGUCUGCAGGAGGACAACAUGGUGCUGAAGCCCUGUGUCCUGAUGGCCUCUCCUGCAGAACCUGGCCCUGUCCUAUGGUGUCUUCCUAGACUGGCCUGGACUUUGAGGUGCCGUGUUACCUGCUGGUGAAGACUGGUGCUGUUCAGAUGCUGCAGCAGGACAUAGUUAUGACAGACAGAGGUCAGCCCUUACUUUCCUUCUUCAAUGGCUUGCUGGAACCAUUCCUUUAACGCUACCAGCGCUCAAGAGACUUGCAGUGACCUGAUGGUUGAGCACUUUUGUGGACAUUGAUAGAGGUGGUAUGUCAGUACCUCUGUGAGGAGGCCAGUGAGGGCCUUACAGAGAAGCAGUACAUCCCUGCGGUCCGCAGCUUCGCUGUGUAACUCAUCCAAGCAGGCUGCUUGGCAGAGUCAGGGUUCAGACCUGAGCCAACUCCCCUUGUUUAUCGUGAGGAGCCAAGGAGGAGACCAGAACCAGAGCCGGUGUUGGAGAGCUGAUCAAGUCACUCUCAAAGUGAACAAGAUGGCUGUGAACUCUUUAGAAGAUACACUGGGAGAAAAUGUCCCACUCAGAAAGCUGUCCAUGCUCGACUGUAAUUCAUUCACUUCGUGGGCCAAUGAAAACUCUGGAGAGUAAACUCUGCCUUCAUUACCAUAAUGCCACAUUUUCCAGGAGAGCACAGCUUAGCCAACUACAAAGGCUGUUUGUCAUCAUUUUUUAAAAGGGACUUCACAGGGCUACCAUCUGGGACACUUUUCAUACACACAAGCUCUUCGAAUUUUGUAUAUGACAACGCUUGAAUAAUUUCUGGAGGUUGCCAACCAAAUUGCCAACCAAAAUGUUUGCCUGCAAUACAGAUGGUUAUAUCGGGCCGCUAAUACAGGACUAGUAAAGGCCCAGUGCACUACUUUUUUU
Long non-coding RNA from Oncorhynchus tshawytscha (Chinook salmon), 1051 nucleotides. The record is from Ensembl. NCBI's taxonomy places the organism in Eukaryota, Metazoa, Chordata, Actinopteri, Salmoniformes, Salmonidae.